GAUCCAGUCGCACAAUAGGCCGUGCAGCGGACUUUUAAUCCGAGUGGAUGUGGGUUCGAGUCCCACCUGGAUCAC
RNAcentral lists this transfer RNA (75 nucleotides) under Streptomyces phage Coruscant. RNAcentral describes it as "tRNA-Lys". It matches the Rfam family "tRNA". Rfam says of the family: Transfer RNA (tRNA) molecules are approximately 80 nucleotides in length. Their secondary structure includes four short double-helical elements and three loops (D, anti-codon, and T loops). Lineage: Duplodnaviria; Heunggongvirae; Uroviricota; Caudoviricetes; Stanwilliamsviridae. The record is from RNAcentral.